This is a long non-coding RNA of Haemorhous mexicanus (house finch), 575 nucleotides long. RefSeq lists it as uncharacterized. Lineage: Eukaryota; Metazoa; Chordata; Aves; Passeriformes; Fringillidae. The record is from RefSeq and is a predicted model, not a curated record. The transcript is spliced from 2 exons.
GCGCGCUCCGGGCACCCCCCCGGGAGAAGGGUAAAAUUCCUUACGGAAGAAUAAGGGCCGAGUACAGGGCUGUCCUGGCCCGGAUCCUGCAGGGAUCAGCUCCUGCAGCGCCCUGUUCCUGUGCCACGGGCUGUCCGUGCGCAUCCUCCUUGUGCCAUGUCCCCGGGUGUUCUGACGCCCGCUCGGUGCCCCCAGAGUGACACCGACAUGGGACAAACAGUUUCACUUUGGGGUUUCUGGCAGUGCUGUCCUCUGCAGGAUGUGGUGUUGCAGUUGAACCACACAGGAGAGCAGGGCUGAGAAAUGCAAUUUGCUCUUUCUCUACUUUCUUCUGUGCACUGAUGUUCUCCUGUGAAGGCUGGUGCAUGCUUUUCCCAGGGCAUGCUGUGAGAGACGCCUUGAUGUUUUAGGAGAGGAUUUUGGGCAGAAGGUUUUGUGUUUUGCUUUGUUUGCCUUGCCCAGACUGUGCCAGUCCCCGGGAGGUGACACUUGUGUCAGUCCUGAAGGUGUGGCUGGGGCUGUCAGAUGAUGGCAGGGCCUUUGAAAAUAGAGUAAAUGUUGGAACAAAAUGUUUA